RNAcentral lists this ribosomal RNA (513 nucleotides) under uncultured bacterium. Its description in RNAcentral is "partial 16S ribosomal RNA". It matches the Rfam family "Bacterial small subunit ribosomal RNA", at positions 28 to 523 of the family's 1533-position model. The record is from RNAcentral.
GAUGAACGCUGGCGGCGUGCCUAAUACAUGCAAGUCGAGCGAACAGACGAGGAGCUUGCUCCUCUGACGUUAGCGGCGGACGGGUGAGUAACACGUGGAUAACCUACCUAUAAGACUGGGAUAACUUCGGGAAACCGGAGCUAACACCGGAUAAUAUAUUGAACCGCAUGGUUCAAUAGUGAAAGACGGUUUUGCUGUCAUUUAUAGAUGGAUCCGCGCCGCAUUAGCUAGUUGGUAAGGUAACGGCUUACCAAGGCAACGAUGCGUAGCCGACCUGAGAGGGUGAUCGGCCACACUUGAACUGAGACACGGUCCAGACUCCUACGGGAGGCAGCAGUAGGGAAUCUUCCGCAAUGGGCGAAAGCCUGACGGAGCGACGCCGCGUGAGUGAUGAAGGUCUUCGGAUCGUAAAACUCUGUUAUUAGGGAAGAACAAAUGUGUAAGUAACUAUGCACGUCUUGACGGUACCUAAUCAGAAAGCCACGGCUAACUACGUGCCAGCCGCCGCCGUAA